GAUGAAUGCUGGCGGCGUGGAUAAGGCAUGCAAGUCGAACGGACUAUCCUUUGAAGAAGUUGCGAUUACAUCAAGGCGACGGAUUUGGAUAGUUAGUGGCGAACGAGUUAGUAACAUCUUGGUACGUACCCUCAAGUCGGGCACAACGGGUCGAAAGAUCCGCUAAUUCCCGAUGGUGCAGUAAUGCUAAAGUCGCAAGACGCUUGAGGAGCGGCCUAGAUCCUANCAGCUUGUUGGCGGGGUAACGGCCCACCAAGGCUAUGACGGGUAGGGGCGGUGGAGAG
Molecule: ribosomal RNA, 284 nt
Filed under: uncultured bacterium
Lineage: Bacteria
Description: partial 16S ribosomal RNA
Rfam family: Bacterial small subunit ribosomal RNA
Source: RNAcentral